Long non-coding RNA from Lagopus leucura (white-tailed ptarmigan), 768 nucleotides. RefSeq lists it as uncharacterized. The transcript is spliced from 4 exons. Lineage: Eukaryota; Metazoa; Chordata; Aves; Galliformes; Phasianidae. The record is from RefSeq and is a predicted model, not a curated record.
CGUUUUUUGGGGAGCUUCCUUUCUUGUGUGCAAGGAAGAUUAAUCAGGUAUAGCUCAGGAAUGCCUUUAGCAUCCUACACAGUGAGGGCUGUGAAGUGCUUUAGUCUUGAAAUUGCUAUGGAGUCAGUGCCUUUCUUUAAAAGUGAAAAUUAUUAAUCUGGAUCACAAGAAGGCUUGGAUUUUUGGAACUGGGAUAAUCUCAUGCAACUGAAGAUGUUCAUGAAGUCACAGCUGGAACCACUGAUGGAGCACCUGGUGAAAGGGUGUAGCCAGCUCUGGGAACACAGGUGGAAACAAUUCCUCCUAACCUCAUAUAAUGGCUGGCAGCUGGGAAAAACUUCUACUUCGAAAUCAUCUCCUUUGGAGUGUUUGGUGCUUUAUCCUUGGAAUGGGGUGAUCUGUGACCUCUUAUGCUUCCUUCGUCUGGUGCAGGAGUACAGAGUACUCCUGUCCCACACAGUAAUUCAGAAAUCAGUUGUUCAUAUAAACAGCUUCUGAAUAUUCCAUCUGAACUAUUUUACUGAAAAGGCCGGUGGUUCUCUUUCUCCAGCUGCCUUCAUUACAACUAUCCUUUGGAAGUUCUGCAGUAGAUAUCUUGGUGUUUUUUCCUGCCCUUGGACUUUCCCUGAUCAGUGGAACAGUGCCUGACUCACAUACAUCUUGGUCUAAUGUGUAUAUCCUACCUUUUGCCUAAGAUGAUUCUGAGGGUAAUCUUGGACUCUUCCAGACUUUAUUUUUGUCCUAAUAAAAUAAUUAAAUUCACCUUAA